UCCCAUUUGCAGGAAGCAGCCGCUAACUGGAAUGGCGACGCUUUCUCUCAUUCCUCUUGCAAAAAUCUCUCCGCACUCACGACGGCUGUCACGGUGCGAUGUCGUUCGUUUUUCCUCCCCGUUUACCGGAACACUGAACCCAAUCACAGUGCCCAAAUCUGUAUCUAGGGUUCCGGCGUUGGUUUCCCCGCUGGAAGCUAUCUCUUUAUCCAACCUGUCGGGAUUCCCGGCCAACCUGCUGGAUCUCCUCCGUGCUUCACCCGCUACUUGGGAGUCCUCAAUUGCAAGCAAUCUAUUCAUCUUCACACUUGGAUCGCCGCUUCUUUUGUCGGGGCUUUCUGCAUUGGGGAUGGGGUCUGCAUUCUUGCUGGGUGUCUUGACGUGGAGAGCCUUCGAAGCACCAGGGUUCCUACUCGUUGCAACAUAUUUUGUUGUGGGAACAGCAGUUACCAAGUUGAAGAUUGCUCAAAAGGAAGCUCUUGGUGUUGCUGAGAAAAGGAUGGGAAGAAGAGGUCCGGGUAGCGUUAUUGGAUCCAGUGCCGCCGGUUGUGCUUGUGCCUUGUUAUCAAUAUAUAGCGUGGGUGGAUCUGCAUUUUCAGAAAUUUGGCGGCUUGCUUUUGUGGCUAGCUUCUGCACCAAAUUAAGUGAUACCGUUUCUAGUGAAAUUGGAAAGGCAUAUGGGAAGACAGCGUAUCUUGUAACAACAUUGAAGGUAGUCCCACGUGGCACAGAAGGUGCUGUUAGUGUUGAAGGGACUAUUGCUGGAAUUUUGGCUUCGGUUCUUCUUUCUACUGUCAGCUAUUUUAUGGGCGAGGUAACUGCACCACAAGCUGCCAUAUGUGUUCUAGCUUCACAGAUUGCGAACAUUGGUGAAAGCUUUAUAGGUGCUGCAUUUCAAGAGAAAGAUGGUUUCCAAUGGCUCAAUAAUGAUGUUGUUAAUGUAGCCAACAUCUCCAUUGGUAGCAUCUUGGCAGUUCUGAUGCAGUUGCUCGUAUUUGAUGGCUGCCGCUGAUGAGUGAUUUACAACAAAUCAUCAUUUUCUGUGUUUCCAUUGCCUUUUUGGUAUUGCUAUCUCGGGAUAAUUUAAUUGUGCUAAAGAUGAGGCUCUCUAAUUGCUUUCAGCAUUGCAUUAUUGAUAUAAUUAAUUUUUUCCUAGAAAAAACAUGUAGCUAAAUUUUUUAUUUCAAUUUAUUUCUUAAUUUGACAUACUAUUUUUGGAGAAAGUUGAAGGUCACGCUCAGCCAUUUCUUUAAUAUAGCGAUAUUACAUGGCAGUUUAUAAAGUGGCAUUAGCCCCUAAAAUUAUAAAAAAUGGGAACCUUGAAGAAAAUUAUCAUUAAACACAACAAAAGUAAAAGCUCCCAUGUUCAAAAUAAGAUUAAUACAAAAAGAGAUAUCAUAGAAGACCCAAUUCGUUAUGCACACGUAGAAGUGGCUGCUCUGCACAAGGAAGCAGUGAUCUCUGUAGUAUCUGUAAUUCUCGGGCAAAUAAUUUGGCACUGAUUUUGUUAUUAGGAUAUGGAGCCGGUAGAGAGUACACUGAUAUCACUUAUAUGCCUGUUAUUCACAUUAGGGCAUUAACGAUAGACUUAAUGUCUGUUCUAUGCCCUUGUUUUCC
RNA transcript from Dendrobium catenatum, 1617 nucleotides. It is a transcript of the gene named protein VTE6, chloroplastic, with no coding region annotated. The transcript has 6 exons. Lineage: Eukaryota; Viridiplantae; Streptophyta; Magnoliopsida; Asparagales; Orchidaceae. The record is from RefSeq and is a predicted model, not a curated record.